RNAcentral lists this microRNA precursor (93 nucleotides) under Callithrix jacchus (white-tufted-ear marmoset). RNAcentral describes it as "microRNA cja-mir-33 precursor". Its record names the gene cja-mir-33. The stretch from base 13 to 81 matches the Rfam family "mir-33 microRNA precursor family". The record is from miRBase by way of RNAcentral. Lineage: Eukaryota; Metazoa; Chordata; Mammalia; Primates; Cebidae.
CCUGGCGGGCAGCUGUGGUGCAUUGUAGUUGCAUUGCAUGUUCUGGUGGCAUCCAUGCAAUGUUUCCACAGUGCAUCACAGAGGCCUGCCUGG